AUUGAACGCUGGCGGCAGGCCUAACACAUGCAAGUCGGACGGUAGCACAGAGGAGCUUGCUCCUCGGGUGACGAGUGGCGGACGGGUGAGUAAUGUCUGGGGAUCUGCCCGAUAGAGGGGGAUAACCACGGGAAACGGUGGCUAAUACCGCAUAACGUCGCAAGACCAAAGAGGGGGACCUUCGGGCCUCUCACUAUCGGAUGAACCCAGAUGGGAUUAGCUAGUAGGCGGGGUAAUGGCCCACCUAGGCGACGAUCCCUAGCUGGUCUGAGAGGAUGACCAGCCACACUGGAACUGAGACACGGUCCAGACUCCUACGGGAGGCAGCAGUGGGGAAUAUUGCACAAUGGGCGCAAGCCUGAUGCAGCCAUGCCGCGUGUAUGAAGAAGGCCUUCGGGUUGUAAAGUACUUUCAGCGGGGAGGAAGGCGAUGUGGUUAAUAACCGCGUCGAUUGACGUUACCCGCAGAAGAAGCACCGGCUAACUCCGUGCCAGCAGCCGCCGUAA
Molecule: ribosomal RNA, 506 nt
Filed under: uncultured bacterium
Lineage: Bacteria
Description: partial 16S ribosomal RNA
Rfam family: Bacterial small subunit ribosomal RNA
Source: RNAcentral